AACGCACCUUGCGCUCCUUGGUAUUCCGAGGAGCAUGCCUGUUUGAGUGUCAUUAAAUUAUCAACCUCACCAGUUUUGUUAUGAGACUGUGUAAGGCUUGGAUGUGGGGGUUUCUGCAGGCUGCCUCUGUGCGGUCUGCUCCCCUGAAAUACAUUAGCGAGUUCACUAAGCUCCGUCUAUUGGUGUGAUAAUUAUCUACGCCGUGGAAUGGGUUUAGACUUGCUUCUAACCGUCUGCAAAGACAAAUUUUGACAAUUUGACCUCAAAUCAGGUAGGACUACCCGCUGAACUUAA
Molecule: unclassified non-coding RNA, 294 nt
Filed under: uncultured Coprinellus
Lineage: Eukaryota; Fungi; Basidiomycota; Agaricomycetes; Agaricales; Psathyrellaceae
Description: sequence contains ITS2
Rfam family: 5.8S ribosomal RNA (bases 1-52)
Source: RNAcentral